CCUACGGGCGGCAGCAGUGAGGAAUAUUGCUCAAUGGCCGGAAGGCUGAACCAGCCAUGCCGCGUGAAGGUCAGUGCCCUAUGGGCGUUAAAGUUCUUUUGUGCGGGAGCAAUAAUGGUCACGUGUGGCCAGACGAGAGUACCGUACGAAUAAGCAUCGGCUAACUCCGUGCCAGCAGCCGCGGUAAUACGGGGGAUGCAAGCGUUAUCCGGAUCUAUUGGGGUUAAAGGGUGCGUAGGCUGGGAGGUAAGUCAGCGGUGAAAUGCUCCCGCUCAACGGGGUGAAGUGCCAUUGAUACUGCCUUGCUGGAAGGCGGAUGCCGUGGGAGGAAUGUGUGGUGUAGCGGGGAAAUGCAUAGAUAUCACACAGAACACCGAUUGCGAAGGCAUCUCACGAAUCCGCGAUUGACGCUGAUGCACGAAAGCGUGGGUAUCAAACAGGAUUAGAUACCCCGGUAGUC
RNAcentral lists this ribosomal RNA (460 nucleotides) under uncultured bacterium. Its description in RNAcentral is "partial 16S ribosomal RNA". It matches the Rfam family "Bacterial small subunit ribosomal RNA", at positions 338 to 795 of the family's 1533-position model. The record is from RNAcentral.